AAAGGAAUUGACGGGGACCCGCACAAGCAGCGGAGCAUGUGGUUUAAUUCGAAGCAACGCGAAAAACCUUACCAAGACUUGACAUCGUAUGACCGCUAUAGAAAUAUGGUUUCCCUUCGGGGCAUAUAGACAGGUGGUGCAUGGUUGUCGUCAGCUCGUGUCGUGAGAUGUUGGGUUAAGUCCCGCAACGAGCGCAACCCCUAUGAAUAGUUGCCAAUAUUAAGUUAGGAACUCUAUUCAGACUGCCGUGGAUAACACGGAGGAAGGUGGGGACGACGUCAAAUCAUCAUGCCCCUUACGUCUUGGGCUACACACGUGCUACAAUGGCUAUUACAAAGAGCAGCGAACCCGUAAGGGGGAGCGAAUCUCACAAAAAUAGUCUCAGUUCGGACUGUGGGCUGCAACCCGCCCACACGAAGUAGGAGUUGCUAGUAAUCCCGAAUCAGCAUGUCGGGGUGAAUGCGUUCCCGGGUCUUGUACACACCGCCCGU
Molecule: ribosomal RNA, 491 nt
Filed under: uncultured bacterium
Lineage: Bacteria
Description: bacterial SSU rRNA
Rfam family: Bacterial small subunit ribosomal RNA
Source: RNAcentral